CAGACUCAGAACAUGGCCGCUGUGGACAACAGUAAAAGAAAACCCUCUGAACUACAGAACCUCCUGCCCAACAAACAGACAAAACUCAGCUCAAUAAGGACCACCCUGCACGCAAGGAGACCGAAGUGCACCCUACUUGGCCAAAUAAUUGACCUGUUCUGAGAGAUGCAACUCAGAAAAAGAUAACAGAAGGAGCCAACCAAGAUCAAAAGUGUUGGUAAGUACCGCAUCAAAUUGAAACACCACAUUUACACAAUGUUUACACUUGAGGUCCAGAGGUCCAGGAGGAGCGGAAGGCCCCAGCUGCAUAAAUUUUGUCAAAG
This is a long non-coding RNA of Hyla sarda, 323 nucleotides long. RefSeq lists it as uncharacterized. NCBI's taxonomy places the organism in Eukaryota, Metazoa, Chordata, Amphibia, Anura, Hylidae. The record is from RefSeq and is a predicted model, not a curated record. The transcript has 3 exons.